Molecule: ribosomal RNA, 1373 nt
Filed under: Haplosclerida sp. TAU_ Po.25603
Lineage: Eukaryota; Metazoa; Porifera; Demospongiae; Haplosclerida
Description: SSU rRNA
Rfam family: Eukaryotic small subunit ribosomal RNA
Source: RNAcentral
ACUAAGCCAUGCAUGUGCAAGUAUGAACGCAUCUGCACCGUGAAACUGCGAAUGGCUCAUUAAAUCAGUUAUAGUUUAUUUGAUGGUGCCCCAUUACAUGGAUAACCGUGGUAAUUCUAGAGCUAAUACAUGCAGAAGGUCCCGACUUUACGGAAGGGAUGUAUUUAUUAGAUCCAAAACCAAUGCCGAGGCUUCGGUCUCGGGAAGCUGGUGAUUCAUGAUAACUGCUCGAAUCGCACGGCCUUCGCGCCGGCGAUGAUUCAUUCAAGUUUCUGCCCUAUCAACUUUCGAUGGUAGGGUAUUGGCCUACCAUGGUCGCAACGGGUAACGGAGAAUUAGGGUUCGAUUCCGGAGAGGGAGCCUGAGAAACGGCUACCACAUCCAAGGAAGGCAGCAGGCGCGCAAAUUACCCAAUCCCGACUCGGGGAGGUAGUGACAAUAAAUAACAAUGCCGGCCUCUUGAGUAGGCCGGCAAUUGGAAUGAGUACAAUCCAAACCCCUUAACGAGGAACAAUUGGAGGGCAAGUCUGGUGCCAGCAGCCGCGGUAAUUCCAGCUCCAAUAGCGUAUAUUAAAGUUGUUGCAGUUAAAAAGCUCGUAGUUGGAUUUCGGAGCCGACCGGGCGGUCUGUCGAGAGACACGCACUGCUCGGUGGCUCUUCCUCUCGGAGGCCCUGGCUGCCCUUAACUGGAGCGGGCAGGGGAUUCGGGACGUUUACUUUGAAAAAAUUAGAGUGUUCAAAGCAGGCCGGUGCUUGGAUACAUUAGCAUGGAAUAAUGGAAUAGGGCUUGGGUCCUAUUUUGUUGGUUUUCGGGACCGAGGUCAUGGUUAAGAGGGACAGUUGGGGGCAUUCGUAUUCAAUUGUCAGAGGUGAAAUUCUUGGAUUUAUGGAAGACGAACAACUGCGAAAGCAUUUGCCAAGGAUGUUUUCAUUAAUCAAGAACGAAAGUUGGGGGUUCGAAGACGAUCAGAUACCGUCGUAGUCCCAACCAUAAACUAUGCCGGCUAGGGAUCGGCGGAGGUCGCAAUCGCCUCCGUCGGCACCUUGAGAGAAAUCAGAGCCUUUGGGUUCCGGGGGGAGUAUGGUCGCAAGGCUGAAACUUAAAGGAAUUGACGGAAGGGCACCACCAGGAGUGGAGCCUGCGGCUUAAUUUGACUCAACACGGGGCAACUCACCAGGUCCGGACAUGGGAAGGAUUGACAGAUCGAGAGCUCUUUCUUGAUUCUAUGGGUGGUGGUGCAUGGCCGUUCUUAGUUGGUGGGGUGACUUGUCUGGUUAAUUCCGUUAACGAACGAGACCUUAACCUGCUAACUAGCUGCGCCGUUCCCGAACGGUUGUCCGUGCAGCUUCUUAGAGGGACAGUUGGCUCGAGC